AGUGAACGCUGGCGGUAGGCCUAACACAUGCAAGUCGAACGGCAGCACAGUAAGAGCUUGCUCUUACGGGUGGCGAGUGGCGGACGGGUGAGGAAUACAUCGGAAUCUACUUUUUCGUGGGGGAUAACGUAGGGAAACUUACGCUAAUACCGCAUACGACCUACGGGUGAAAGCAGGGGAUCUUCGGACCUUGCGCGAUUGAAUGAGCCGAUGUCGGAUUAGCUAGUUGGCGGGGUAAAGGCCCACCAAGGCGACGAUCCGUAGCUGGUCUGAGAGGAUGAUCAGCCACACUGGAACUGAGACACGGUCCAGACUCCUACGGGAGGCAGCAGUGGGGAAUAUUGGACAAUGGGCGCAAGCCUGAUCCAGCCAUACCGCGUGGGUGAAGAAGGCCUUCGGGUUGUAAAGCCCUUUUGUUGGGAAAGAAAAGCAGCAGGUUAAUACCCCGCUGCUCUGACAGUACCCAAAGAAUAAGCACCGGCUAACUUCGUG
This 492-nucleotide ribosomal RNA is filed under the name uncultured bacterium. RNAcentral's name for it is "partial 16S ribosomal RNA". It matches the Rfam family "Bacterial small subunit ribosomal RNA", at positions 29 to 507 of the family's 1533-position model. The record is from RNAcentral.